UACAGAGGAGCCAAGCGUUGUCCGGAUUGACUGGGCGUAAAGAGCGCGCAGGCGGUCGUUCAAGUCGCGUGUGAAAGCCCUUGGCUCAACUGGGGAGGGUCACGCGAUACUGAUUGACUCGAAGGCAGGAGAGGGAAGUGGAAUUCCCGGUGUAGUGGUGAAAUGCGUAGAUAUCGGGAGGAACACCAGUGGCGAAGGCGGCUAUCUGGACGGUUUCUGACGCUAAGACGCGAAAGCGUGGGGAGCAAACAGG
RNAcentral lists this ribosomal RNA (253 nucleotides) under uncultured bacterium. RNAcentral describes it as "partial 16S ribosomal RNA". It matches the Rfam family "Bacterial small subunit ribosomal RNA", at positions 524 to 776 of the family's 1533-position model. The record is from RNAcentral.